CCCUGGUUAGCUGAAUCGGUAGAGCGCUCCACCUGUAAUGGAGAGAUGUCGGGUUCGAUACCCGGACCAGGCG
Ixodes scapularis (black-legged tick) is the source of this 73-nucleotide non-coding RNA. Lineage: Eukaryota; Metazoa; Arthropoda; Arachnida; Ixodida; Ixodidae. The record is from Rfam.